This is a long non-coding RNA of Lemur catta (Ring-tailed lemur), 1202 nucleotides long. RefSeq lists it as uncharacterized. Lineage: Eukaryota; Metazoa; Chordata; Mammalia; Primates; Lemuridae. The transcript is spliced from 3 exons. The record is from RefSeq and is a predicted model, not a curated record.
GGUAACUGUGAGUGCAGGACGGGGUGAGAAAGCGGGAAUGCAGGAGGGAACCGCUUUUUCUAUUUCAAGGGCCGGUGUCUUCAGAGGCAGCAACGUGGCGUGUGCUGAGAGAUGUACCGUGUGCUGGGAGAUGAUGUAACAGCGCAGUAUCAGGCCAGCCCUUCCACAGCCUGGGGACUUAGUCUUCCGAAGGGGGGCAGUCUCUGCAGCCUCCUGACCAAUGUUCAGAAGAUUUAUCUCUUCCUCGCUUGGGACUUUCACCCAGCACGUUUCCACGCGAGGCAGCUGCCUACAAGAAGAACAGAAAAGUCCCAGCUGGGCUUAUGGGGAAUGAAAUAAGUCCCAAGCCUCAAUCUCUCUGAAAAGUUGUUAUUAAAUUCUGUGCCUGGCCCUGACCUGGAUUUAAAGAUUUGCAAAAAGACAAAUUCCAAACAGAUGCCCAUUAGGGCCUGACAGCCGCAGCUUAAAGAUAACAUUUACAUUCUGCCGGGGUUUGUAUCUCUCUGUUCCCCACUUGGCCCCUCUCCUUCCUCCAGCGGGAUCAAUACCUCGGCUGAGGUCACGUGGAGGUGGCCACAUUCUUUUAAGCUGUUUGCUCAGUGCUGGGUUUGCUCUGCUAACAUGCCCGGCUCUUCUCCAACAGCCCUGUUUGCCCAGCAUUAGGGCUGUUUGCCGAAACACCUAGCCCAAUCCGAGGGGGCUCAGCUUUCCAAACAGUUGGUCCCCGAAUCUGUCAAUCAAUAACACCAAUUGGGUUCCUCAUACGAACAGCAAGCGUGGCCAAGUCCAAUAUUUGCCCAAGCACCGCCCCCUCCCGCUGCACCUGACUGUCUCUCGGCUUGACGAGGAGGACCAUGGCCAAGCGCACGGGCUGCUGGGAAGACACGAUGCCGGCAAACGGGGAGCCGAUUCCAGGAAAGAAGGGCACAUGAGCAAACAUGAUGGCCCCUUUAUGAGAGGAACUUGGAGUAACUUGCAGUGUCUUGCAGUAUUGUGAAACCAGCAAUUUUUUCACAAUUCUUCUGAAUUUCUAAAGAAAUUUAAAGUGGGGCACCUGUACCAACAUGAAGUGACAUGAACUUAGUGGUGCUUACCAACAAAAAAUGAAAGGAGUAAAAGAGGAGGAAAUUGCAACAACACCUGAAUGUAUGCAAACAUGUGGAAUGCCUUCAAAAUCAUGUGUCACUAAUGAAAAUUCUGAA